RNAcentral lists this ribosomal RNA (497 nucleotides) under uncultured bacterium. Its description in RNAcentral is "partial 16S ribosomal RNA". It matches the Rfam family "Bacterial small subunit ribosomal RNA", at positions 28 to 507 of the family's 1533-position model. The record is from RNAcentral.
GACGAACGCUGGCGGCGUGCCUAAUACAUGCAAGUUGAGCGAUGAAGAUUGGUGCUUGCACCAAUUUGAAGAGCAGCGAACGGGUGAGUAACGCGUGGGGAAUCUGCCUUUGAGCGGGGGACAACAUUUGGAAACGAAUGCUAAUACCGCAUAACAACUUUAAACAUAAGUUUUAAGUUUGAAAGAUGCAAUUGCAUCACUCAAAGAUGAUCCCGCGUUGUAUUAGCUAGUUGGUGAGGUAAAGGCUCACCAAGGCGAUGAUACAUAGCCGACCUGAGAGGGUGAUCGGCCACAUUGGGACUGAGACACGGCCCAAACUCCUACGGGAGGCAGCAGUAGGGAAUCUUCGGCAAUGGACGAAAGUCUGACCGAGCAACGCCGCGUGAGUGAAGAAGGUUGUCGGAUCGUAAAACUCGGUUGGUAGAGAAGAACGUUGGUGAGAGUGGAAAGCUCAUCAAGUGACGGUAACUACCCAGAAAGGGACGGCUAACUACGUG